GACAGAGGUGCCGAGCGUUAGGCGGAAUCACUGGGCUUAAAGCGUGUGUAGGCGGACCGUUAAGUACCUUGUGAAAUCCCACGGCUCACCCGUGGAACGGCUGGGUAGACUGGCGGUCUUGGGCCACCUAGGGGCAGAUGGAACAGACGGUGGAGCGGUGAAAUGCGUAGAUAUCGAGAGGAACACCUGCGGCGAAGGCGGGUUGCUGGGCUGACACUGACGCUGAUGCGCGAAAGCCAGGGGAGCGAACGGG
Molecule: ribosomal RNA, 253 nt
Filed under: uncultured bacterium
Lineage: Bacteria
Description: partial 16S ribosomal RNA
Rfam family: Bacterial small subunit ribosomal RNA
Source: RNAcentral